This is a long non-coding RNA of Bombus terrestris (buff-tailed bumblebee), 4633 nucleotides long. RefSeq lists it as uncharacterized. Lineage: Eukaryota; Metazoa; Arthropoda; Insecta; Hymenoptera; Apidae. The transcript is spliced from 2 exons. The record is from RefSeq and is a predicted model, not a curated record.
UCGAAUUACGUAUGAUCCAUUUUGUUCUAUCAAAAUAAAUAAGGUAGAUAGGUCGUGAUAGGUACCGCUGGUGUAUGAGAGAUUUUUGUCUUCAUCUAGGUUGCCAUCUUCUCAGUUAAGAAUUUUGUAAAAGACCGGACUGUGAAUGCCGGGAUACGAACCUGGUCUUGGACGUUCGUAACCAGCUGCUCUAACCACAGCUCUGCCGUCGUCCGGUCAAGGAUAGAGUCUUUGUGUACCAAGCCACGGGACAGAAACCAUUGGAAAGUUUUGCUGUCGAGUGCCGUUACAUAAAGAUCACAACGUUCGACAGAUUACGUUUCAUGUUUGUGUAAAGAUGCAUCUUGUAAAAGACGGGUUUAUAAAAGAAAGACACUUAUAAAAGAAAGACACUUUUCUAUAAUCUAAUAUCUUCGAAGUAACUUCUAAUCUUAGUUACACGAUAUCUUAUGCUGUUUCAACGUCCUAAUAAACACCCUAAGCAAAGGGUACACAAACCAUAGUACAAUCCUACGUAACAACAAAGGAAGGAUAAAGUCGAAGCGCGGUGUAUUAGCACGAUCGUAUUUAGGAGAAUUAAUCGAACCGAUCGUACGCUCGCAACUUAAAUCCUCCAUAAGCCUCGCUAUUCAGUCGAUGAAAACAGACAGCCGCUUUGUAAGCAAACGUUCUAACGCUAAUUGAACGUUGGAUCCGGCGUAUCGUGCACCGAUGUAUACAACCGAUGUUUCGCAAUGUGCCAGGCACUUUUAACCGAUGACGCUUGUAGAGCGGUUAGAUAACCGAAAGUACAUCAAAGUUGGCAUUCGCACGAGGGAUCGCUGCGCAGCGAUGAACCACACGGAUUCAGUUAUUCGUCGGCUGUGCCGAUGAUAGCUUUUCGACGAAUUAUCGCUUCGUAACCGCGAAUAAUCAUGGGCGAGGUGCAUUCGAUUUUCGAGACGGUCGACGGUUGGAUACGGAAGCUGAAAAGCUGCCAUAACGCGCCGAUCCCCAGGACCCAGAUUGCCGAAACGAAAAUCACGAUCGAAACGAACGAUACGAUUUUCGAUCACGAGAUAUGGAGGCAAGCUUUGCUGGUCGAGGCGCCUGCUCUUCGCAACCUGCUGUUCGGUGUGCCCGCCGAGAACAACAUCUUCGAGAUCGUUUGCACGAUCAAUCGCUUGCUCUUCUUUUACGUAAUCAUCAAAUGGAUCAAUUACGAAGCCUGGGUAUUGGCUGGCGCCGAACCCUUCGUUUUGAACCGGUGAAAGCUUGGCUAUUAGUAAACGACCAUGUCGACGUGUUCCUUCGUUCGAGUUGAUCCGUACGAUUGUCAACCGACAGUGCAGUGCCUCUGAGUGGCCUCGGGAAAAGAUUUCGACAGAAAAGGACGGAGAAAGCAUUCAUUCAAGAAUUAAUUGAAAUUUAUGGAGAGAAGACGCGAAUGAUUUUAUAAACAAAGUGAAAAGCUUUAUGUAAGAAGAAAGAAAUACUUGAUGAAAUAUAAUUUUUCCAUCGUCUUUUAUGUUUCCUGAAAGUCUUAGCGCUUUUCAUGUUCCUCCGGCGAACUAGCGUUUCUAAAGCUCUGCCAUUUUUCUUUCCUGUUGGUUCGAAUAAGUUACGAUUAGCUUUUACCUUUUUUUGGUAAUAUUCAAAUACUCUACAAAAAUUGUAAUUUUGACUAGAAAUUACAAAAAAUGUCUCGUAUAUUCAAUUUUCUUUUCCAAGUUACAAAAAGUGUUCCACGUAUGUUUUCCAUGUUAGCUCAAUUCUUAUUACAAGUAACAAAAGAUGUCUCGCAUAUGUUUCAAAAAAUUCUACGAAACCUGCAGUUUUGUAUCGAGAAACAUAGAAAUUAGCAGAAUUUUAUAUCGCACCAGAAUUCCAGCUCUAAGAAUCGAAGGGGCGAAUCUACGUUUCCGAUCAAAGUUAAAUAUUCACACUAAGAGCAGUAUAGUCGCAGGAAAUUUAUUAGUAACGAAAAGUAGCCACGAACAUACGACUGUAUUCGCUGGAAACGGCGUAGACUGACAAUUAGUUCGGAAAACUUUUGAAUAUCACGUUACACAAGCUCGCAAGUGUCGUUUGGUUCCUUCAGCUAAAUCCUCGUCUCUCCGUCUAACGUUUAGCUGGAAUUCGAAGGUACGCGUUUCAAGAAAAAGAGAGAGAGAGAGAGAGAGAGAGAGAAAGAAACAAGGAGUGGGCGCCAAUAUUUUCAAGAAUCAACAUACCAGCGAACGCUAAAAUUAAACCAGAGUUCUAUACCGAUUCACGGAAUGCGCGCCAAUAAUUAUCGUUCGAGCUUAUUCCCAACAACGCAGACAGCGUUUCAGGCAGUUGAAUUUUUAUAUCCGCUGUUAUCGUUAAUUACGCGAAAUGCCGGGGACAGAGGGCGGAAAUUGCGAAGGAUCUGGUGUCGAUGGUACGAAAUGAAAUUUAGCCGCGAUCGAACGCAAUUUAUUUCCAUGUCCAUGCUCUAAAUCCGUGGCCGCCAGCGAAAAUAGACUGCGAUUUCCAUCAAAUGCACACGUCUGUCCGUUUCGUCUAUCGAAACGUUCGGCUCUACACGCUUAACGCCAACUGUACGUGUACUUUGCCGAGUAUCGCGAAAAACGCUGCGCGGAUAAAACGUUUGAUCUUUACGCUUAUAAAAAGAAAAUGUUCGAAAAGAGAUUUUAGCGAGAGAAAGAGAAAAAGAGAGAGAGAGAGAGAGAGUAACGAGAAAACUGAAUCUCUGCAGGCAUACUUAGCAACAAUAAUGUUUUAAUAUAAUCUAAUAAUAAUAAUAAUAAUAAUAAUAAUAAUAAUAAUAAUAAUAAUAACAAUAAUAAUAACAAUAAUAAUAACAAUAUAUAAUAAUAAUAAUAAAACAAUAAUAAUCUAAAUAUUCACCGAUAAACACGUGAAUACUAAAGAGCAAAGAUAAUCAGCUAUUUGCAAAAUUUUGUUGAAGGAAGUCGUCGAGGGGAAGUUAAUUUUCGUUUAAAUUCUAAGUGGAGGUCAGAGGUCGCUAAGUCUCAAAGAAACCCCACGAUGGAUGAAGCGAUUAGAAUUGUUAAGAUGAAUAAACGAUUGUUAAUGAAAUAUUAUAUUCUUGUCGUUGGUUGGCUCACGUGUAAGCGCAGAGGCAUGAUUCAUCGUGGAAAACGCGAGGUUUAUACAGAUUUCCAGGCGGUUUUUGUUAUAAAACUGUCCGCACGAGGGAACACAUGACGCGUGUCUCCUUUUUCUUUGGUAAACCUCGUCCUGCUGCCAACAUCCGCCCUUUCAAUCACACACACCGUCGAGUUUAACGUUCAACUGGUAGAAAUGGGAGCCGUUGCGCUAAAAUUCGAGGAAACGUCGUUUGGAAAUGAAAGUUACGUCUGCUGAGUUAGAAAUCGUUUUAAUCCGAGAUAAUAAGCGCCAGCUAAACGACUCUUAUGAUAAUUGGUCCGUGAUACUCUUCCACUUCUAUCUCGUUGCUCAUGCAGAUGUUUUAAAUACAAUCAGAAUAAAAAUUCGACAGAAAUUAAACGACUCUUAUGGAAGUAUCCCUGUGCUAUGGUUCGUGUAUCAGAGGGAGAAAGAAAUAUUUACAUUUCAAGAUGUCGUUUUCUUCUUUAGACGUGACUUUAGUAUUUUAUGGAGGCACGUUAUGGCGAUCUAUAUACGUAAAUGUCUUUCUGGGAGGUCCACGAUCUAUUUCAGAAAACAUCACACGCUGCGUUCGUGGCGUCGAUUUCAUUCGCAUUUCGUAAAGAAAACCUGGUUAAUUACAAUUUCUUUAGUGAAAAAUAACAGUGUUAAAAAAUACGAUAUAAAAAUACGAUAUCGGUCAGAUCAAUUAAGAGCAGAUCAGUAAUUGCAUAUGAAAUUUACUAUUUUGAUGGAUGGAAUGUUACUCUUCUACUUUAUCGCGCCUUUCAUUACCAACUAUGACACUACUAUUACUACUACACUGCUACUAACAAGAAGAGAAAGAACAGAAGUUUCUUCGUUAUUUGACACCUGUAGUUUUCCAAAAUCUCGUUAUUUCUACUCAAUAUUAUACAUUUGAAAAUUAAACAAUUUUGUGCUUGUUUUAUUCUAUUCGUCUCUUUGUUCUAUUUAUUCUGUGUAAAAUUGACGACACCUAUAGUUUACCAAAAUCUCGUUAUUUGUAUUCAAUAUUACAUACUAGAAGAUUAAAUAAUUUUGUGCUUGUUUUAUUCUAUUCGUCUCUUCGUUCUAUUUAUUCUGUGUAAAAUUGACGACACCUGUAGUUUUCCAAAAUCUCAUUAUUUGUAUUCAAUAUUACAUACUACAAGAUUAAAUAAUUUUGUGCUUGUUUUAUUCUAUUCGUCUCUUCAUUCUAUUUGUUCUGUGUAAAAUUGACGACACCUGUAGUUUUCCAAAAUCUCAUUACUUGUAUUCAAUAUUACAUACUACAAGAUUAAAUAAUUUUGUGCUUGUUUUAUUCUAUUCGUCUCUUCGUUCUAUCUAUUCUGUUGUGUAAAAUUAACGUGAAAUUAAGGUAAAAAUAUACUGUUGUGCGCGCUGAGAGAACUGUGACCUAUGAAGUUUGUGAUAUACAGAAAAAUAAAAUCGACUUUGUUUAUUUAUGGCACCGUCACUGUUAAGGAGCGAUAUAUGAUAUAAAUAAUAAAUAAGUAAACGACUUUGGAAAUAA